Long non-coding RNA from Anthonomus grandis grandis, 531 nucleotides. RefSeq lists it as uncharacterized. The record is from RefSeq and is a predicted model, not a curated record. The transcript has 2 exons. NCBI's taxonomy places the organism in Eukaryota, Metazoa, Arthropoda, Insecta, Coleoptera, Curculionidae.
CAAUACGGUUAAUAUAAUUUAAAUAUAUUGAAAAGUCAUGUAACAAUUUUUGCAACUUGUUAUUAAUUUUAUUGUUUAAUAUAUUUCUUAAGAUUAAAGGUUAUUUAUUAUUAUGGUUCGUCAUUUUUACGAGAAUCUCAUUGAAUGUCUGUGCACGCAUCUAAAAUCGGAGUCUUGGCACUUUUCAAUUGCCAAUUGGCACUGUACAAAUCCGUUUAGUUGCCGCACAUUUAAAAAUGGGUAUUUUAUGUACAAGUCUUCUGCUAGGUUGUAAUAGUUUAGAGAGAGAAUAUACUUUUUACAGCUUUAUUUUGACACGUUUGCGACCUACUCCAUACAUAGUAACUCGUAUUUUCCCCAACUGGAUUAUAGGUGGCUGUGAGAUACAGUGGAGGAUCUGGAGGGUUUUGGUACGUGAGGCGAAACCCAGAAAGUAAUUAUAAUAUACUUUCUUAUGGACUUUCUAAUAUACUUUCUUAUGGAAUUAUAAUAUGGACUACUUCUUCAACUUCAAUAAAAUUAUAAUAUAUG